UGGAGGUUCCCAGGCUAGGGGUUGAAUCAGAGCUGUAGCCACCGGCCUACACCAGAGCCACAGCAACUCCGGAUCCGAGCCAUGUCUGCAACCUACAACACAGCUCAUGGCAACACUGGAUCCUUAACCCACUGAACAAGGCCAGGGAUCGAACCCUGCAACCUCAUGGUUCCUAGUUGGAUUCAUUAACCACUGCACCACGACGGGAAUUCCCCGAUCCACUUUCUUUUUAUGAUUGUCUUUUUAUAUAGCACGUUGGUCUUGUUUCGUAUUUUCCUGAGAAUAUUUUAGUUUCCCUAACAUUAGUUAUACUCUUGGUGUGUUUCUGUUUCCUCUGACUUCUUCUGAUUGCUUUUCUUUCCUGUUGGAAUCUUUCCUCAAAUAUCUUGUUCCUCACUGUGCAGUUAUAUUUAAAAUGAAACAUUAAAAAGUUGUGAACUUUUGUGUACAAAUGUGGACUUGUCAGUGCACCUCAUCAUAUGAUGAAAGAAUGGCUGCCUGCUUUUGUUGGAGAUCCAUAGAUAUUUUUCUGGGAUGUCUGAUUUUCCAGAAAAUAAACUUUCAAACUCCUGACCCUUGGGAAGGGGGAGGGCAAGCUGGGGAAAGACUGGCUAUAAGCCUGGCUGCAGGAUUUUGGAGCUCAAACAGUGUACCAUUCAGCAAACAUAGUUGGGUUCCUCUUUUGUCAGUACCAUAACUUGCCUCUCCAUAUUUAUGUCCUGAAUUCUGAAGCCUCUCUUGUUCCCCUUUUUCCCAAGGGGAAAAACCUAUCUCCCAUCAGAAUAGGGAUGGUCACCUCACUGGAUGGGUUUAUGAAUCUCAGUUCUAACAGAACCCUGUACAGAUUUUCAAACAGUUCAUCAUUCUGUGAUACCUGGUGGCUGUUCAUUCCUGAGGCUCUUGAGCCCUCUCUGGGGACAUCAGUUGUCUACCUUACAAGAAUAUGAUUUUCUUCCUCUAAGUAAUUUACUGUGUACUCUUUUAUGCAUUCAGCCUUCACUAAUUGUGGUUUGAAAUUAUAGUUAUCUCCUAGUAUAAACAAAGAUUAUGUUUUUGCUUGUUUCCCCUCUUAUUUUGAGAUGAUUUUCAGGAGAAAAGAAAAGCAGAGAUAUUUUUACUUUGCUGCCUUGAGAGUAGAAGUUUCUUUUCUGUGGCUCCACUCUCCUGAUUUCCACCUGACCCUCCCCUAUCGCUACUGAGUAGUGCAUGCCUCAAGCCCUGCUAUCAUCAUCUCACAACAGCAUUCCAUCCAAAAGAUCUCAGUCAGGACUCUGGCCUUGCCUACCUCUCCACUUUCACUGAGCACCAUACUCGCCUUCAUUUAAGCUUCAGCCACCACUGAUAUUUUAGGGGUUUGAUUCCAGCAAACCCCUUACACAUGCUGGCAUUUGCAACUGAUGAAAAGUCACUGGUCGAGGAGACGGGAUUAAGAUGGCGGAAUAGAAGGACUGGAGCUCAACUUCUCUCCUAAAAAAAACAAAAUUCACAACUAAAGACUGAGCAAUCUCCACCCAAAUGGACUGGAAACCCAUACCCUACUCCAGAAGAAAAAGAGGAGGCCACAUCCACAGGUAGGAGGGGUGAUUUCGUGAUAUAAACAACCCCAUACCUCCCGGGUGGGAAGCUCCACAGACUGAAAACCAACUGGCUCACAGAGACUCACCUACAGGAGUGAGAGUUCUGAGCCCCACAUCAAACCCUCACAUGCUGGGAUCUGUCACUGGGAGAAAGAGCCCCUGGAGCAUCUGGCAUUGAAGGCCAGCGGGGCUUGUGCACAGGAGCUCCACAGGACUGGGGGAAAUGGAGACCCCAUUCUUAAGAGGCGCACACAGACUUUCACGUGCACUAGGUCCCAGGGCAGAGCAAGGUCUCCACAGAAACCUAGGUCAAACCUGACUGCAGUUCUUGGAGGACAUCAUGGGAAAUCAGGGUGAAUGUGAUUUGUUGUGAGGGAAGGACAUUGAAGGCAAAGUUCUCGGGAAUAUUCAGCAAUUGCCUUUCUCUGGAAGUGGCCAUUUUGGGAAAAUCUGGCCCCACCCGUCAGUCAGUGCUGAGAAGCCCCAGGCCAAACAACAAUCCAGGUGGGAUCACAGCCCCACCCCUCAGUAAACAGGCUACCUAAAGAGCCUCAGCACACAGCAGCCCCUAAUCCCAUCCAGAGACUAAGCCCCACCCACCAGAGGGAUUAGAAUCGGCUCCACCUACCAGUGGGCGGGCAUCAGCCCCUCCCAUCAGGAAGCCUACAGCAAGCCCCCAUACCGACUUCAGCCACAAGGGGUGCAGACACCAGAAGUAAGAGAGGCUACGGCUCUAUUAUCUAUAAAAAGGUCACCACACCAAAAACCUAUAAAAAUGGAAAGACAGAGAACUAUAAUUCAGAUGAGGGAGAAAGGAAAAACCCCAGAAAAUCAGCUAAGCAAUGAGGAGAUUCUCAGCCUCCAGGAAAAAGACUUUAGACUGUUGAUGCUGAAGAUGAUGCAAGGCAUUGGAAAUAAACUGGAGGCAAAGAUGGGUAACUUACAGGAAACACUGAGCAAAAAGAUACAAGAUAUAAAACUUAAACAAGAAGAGAUGCAAAAUACAAUAACUGAAAUAAAAAACUCACUAGAAGCAGCUAACAGCAGAAUACAGGAGGCAAGCCAGGACAUGGAAACAACCCAAAUGUCCAUCGACAGAUGAUUGGAUUCGGAAGAUGUGUAUAUACACAAUGGAAUACUAGUCAGCCAUAAAAAAGGAUGACAUAAUGCCAUUUGCAGCAACAUGGAUGGAACUAGAGACUCUCAUACUGAGUGAAAUGAAUCAGAAAGACAAAGACAAAUACCAUAUGAUACCACUUAUAACUGGAAUCUAAUAUCCAGCAUAAAUGAACAUCUCCACAGAAAAGCAAAUCAUGGACUUGGAAAAUAGACUUGUGGCUGCCCGAUGACGGGAGAAGGAGGGAGUGGGAGGGAUCGGGAGCUUGGGGUUAUCAGAUACAACUUAGAAUAGAUUUACAGUGAGAUCCUGCUGAGUAGCAUUGAGAACUAUGUGUAGAUACUCAUGUUGCAACAGAACAAAGGGUGGGGGAAAAAUGUAUACAUGUAAGAAUAACUUGAUCCCCAUGCUGUACGGCGGGAAAAAAAUAAAAUAAAAU
Molecule: long non-coding RNA, 3133 nt
Filed under: Sus scrofa (pig)
Lineage: Eukaryota; Metazoa; Chordata; Mammalia; Artiodactyla; Suidae
Description: lncRNA (ENSSSCG00000057900.1, ENSSSCG00130003440.1)
Source: RNAcentral